This is a non-coding RNA of Acanthosepion pharaonis, 108 nucleotides long. Lineage: Eukaryota; Metazoa; Mollusca; Cephalopoda; Sepiida; Sepiidae. The record is from the annotation of a GenBank genome assembly.
CGGCCACACGUUGAAACACUGGCUCCCGUACGAUCACAGAAUUUAAGUAAUGUCAAGCAUGGCCAGUACCUAGAUGGGUGACCUUUUGGGAAUACCAGGUGCUGUAAG